Molecule: ribosomal RNA, 943 nt
Filed under: Hyphoderma subsetigerum
Lineage: Eukaryota; Fungi; Basidiomycota; Agaricomycetes; Polyporales; Hyphodermataceae
Description: LSU rRNA
Rfam family: Eukaryotic large subunit ribosomal RNA
Source: RNAcentral
UAGCAUAUCAAUAAGCGGAGGAAAAGAUUCUAACAGGGAUUCCCCUAGUAACUGCGAGUGAAGCGGGAAAAGCUCAAAUUUAAAAUCUGGUAGUCUUUGGCUGCCCGAGUUGUAAUCUAGAGAAGCGUCUUCCGCGCUGGACCGUGUACAAGUCUUUUGGAAUAAAGCAUCAUAGAGGGUGAGAAUCCCCGUCUUUGACACGGACUACCAGUGCUUUGUGAUGCGCUCUCAAAGAGUCGAGUUGUUUGGGAAUGCAGCUCAAAAAUGGGUGGUAAAUUCCAUCUAAAGCUAAAUAUUGGCGAGAGACCGAUAGCGAACAAGUACCGUGAGGGAAAGAUGAAAAGCACUUUGGAAAGAGAGUUAAACAGUACGUGAAAUUGUUGAAAGGGAAACGCUUGAAGUCAGUCGCGUUGUUCAGAACUCAGCCUGGCUCCCGCUUGGUGUAUUUUCUGUUUAACGGGCCAGCAUCAAUUUUGACCAUUGGAAAAAGGCCAGAGGAAUGUGGCAUCUUCGGGUGUGUUAUAGCCUCUGGUUGCAUACAAUGGUUGGGAUUGAGGAUCUCAGCAUGCCUUUUGGCCGGGGUUCGCCCACGUUCAUGCUUAGGAUGCUGGCGUAAUGGCUUUAAACGACCCGUCUUGAAACACGGACCAAGGAGUCUAACAUGCCUGCGAGUGUUUGGGUGGAAAACCCGAGCGCGUAAUGAAAGUGAAAGUUGGGAUCCCUGUCGUGGGGAGCACCGACGCCCGGACUUGAACUUCUGUGACGGAUCCGCGGUAGAGCAUGUAUGUUGGGACCCGAAAGAUGGUGAACUAUGCCUGAAUAGGGUGAAGCCAGAGGAAACUCUGGUGGAGGCUCGUAGCGAUUCUGACGUGCAAAUCGAUCGUCAAAUUUGGGUAUAGGGGCGAAAGACUAAUCGAACCAUCUAGUAGCUGGUUCCUGCCGA